UGGACAGAUUAUUGUAUUCGACUGUAUUCAUGGCGUGAAACAGGGGAUUACACUAUUUUUAAACGGAAAGUGAAUCAAUUAACAUAAUGGACUCCU
RNAcentral lists this microRNA precursor (96 nucleotides) under Nicotiana sylvestris (wood tobacco). RNAcentral describes it as "MIR6152 microRNA precursor family". It matches the Rfam family "MIR6152 microRNA precursor family". Lineage: Eukaryota; Viridiplantae; Streptophyta; Magnoliopsida; Solanales; Solanaceae. The record is from Rfam by way of RNAcentral.